RNAcentral lists this ribosomal RNA (403 nucleotides) under uncultured bacterium. Its description in RNAcentral is "partial 16S ribosomal RNA". It matches the Rfam family "Bacterial small subunit ribosomal RNA", at positions 28 to 526 of the family's 1533-position model. The record is from RNAcentral.
GACGAACGCUGGCGGCGUGCCUAAUACAUGCAAGUCGAACGCAGUGGGGACGGGUGAGUAACACGUGGGUAACCUCCCAUCAGAGGGGAGAAAACUUGGAAACAGGUGCUAAACCGAUACGGAUGGAGGGACCCGGGGGGCAUUAGCUAGUUGGUGAGGUAGAGGCUCACCAAGGCCACGAUGCAUAGCUGGCCUGAGAGGAUGACCGGCCACACUGGGACUGAGACACGGCCCAGACUCCUACGGGAGGCAGCAGUGGGGAAUAUUGGGCAAUGGACGAAAGUCUGAUCGAGCCAUGCCGCGUGUGUGAAGAAGGUUUUCGGGUCGUAAAGCUCUGUUGUUAGAGAAGCGGUAUCCAACCAGAAAGCCCCGGCUAACUACGUGCCAGCAGCCGCGGUAAUAC